UUUAGUUGCCAAAUUAUUGGUAUUCACUAUGCACUAUACCACUCCAAAAGUAUAUUUCUUUCCCUCUACAUGCCACUCCAUUGCCGUGAAUAAUUGUGGGAUCAAUGAAACGAUUAUUUAGUUCCUAAAAACAAGCACACGUUGGCUACAUAUUCCAACUUCCAAGUCUCUCACAAUCAGUUGUCUUCUCACUAAUUGACUACACGAGCCACUCUUCUUUAGCAUUUUAUCUUUCACGUAGACAAACCUUCAUUUUCCAAAUCUCAAACAUUCCAUUAUUACUUUUAAUCCUCGUCCACUCAAAUUUAGUUCUUCUAAUAGAUGAUCAUGAUUUUCCCUCCUUAGUUUCUUAACAUCACAAAGUCUCCCAUCUAUAUGACCUCACGCAAAUCAUCCCAUAUCACAAUGCUCUCUUAUUAUUUCCCAGUCUUUGAGCAUACAUCUCCAACGUUCCAUUGAUUCAUAUGUUGUAUACAAAUAUUUUUCAAGUUUAUCAAUCAAUUCCUACAGUCUAUCCCCUCACAAUAUUCAUCAUGUUCCCAAUAUAUGGUUAUUCGUUUUCAACGGUGUAAUCUUCAAAACAAAGUCUAGAGCGAGAUAAAUCAUGCAUGCAUUGAACCUGCGAAUUUAGAGAACCUUAUAGUUCUUUGAUUGGGAGGAAAGCGUACAAGGUACCAUAGAUGAAAUAUGAAGCUUGAUGUGUGAUGAAACGUUUACGGGGCAAAUUAGGUUUUAAAAUGAAGAAGAAAACUACUUUUUAUUUAGUUGUAAUUGUAAUUUAAAUAUUUUUAAAAUAUACUAUAGAGUUUAUAUUUAUUCCAUUAAGAAUUAG
This 832-nucleotide long non-coding RNA is filed under the name Medicago truncatula (barrel medic). RNAcentral's name for it is "lncRNA gene33872". The record is from RNAcentral. Lineage: Eukaryota; Viridiplantae; Streptophyta; Magnoliopsida; Fabales; Fabaceae.